Molecule: ribosomal RNA, 503 nt
Filed under: uncultured bacterium
Lineage: Bacteria
Description: partial 16S ribosomal RNA
Rfam family: Bacterial small subunit ribosomal RNA
Source: RNAcentral
AUUGAACGCUGGCGGCAGGCUUAACACAUGCAAGUCGAGCGGGGUGAUGGUGCUUGCACUAUCACUUAGCGGCGGACGGGUGAGUAAUGCUUAGGAAUCUGCCUAUUAGUGGGGGACAACAUCUCGAAAGGGAUGCUAAUACCGCAUACGUCCUACGGGAGAAAGCAGGGGAUCACUUGUGACCUUGCGCUAAUAGAUGAGCCUAAGUCGGAUUAGCUAGUUGGUGGGGUAAAGGCCUACCAAGGCGACGAUCUGUAGCGGGUCUGAGAGGAUGAUCCGCUACACUGGGACUGAGACACGGCCCAGACUCCUACGGGAGGCAGCAGUAGGGAAUAUUGGACAAUGGGGGGAACCCUGAUCCAGCCAUGCCGCGUGUGUGAAGAAGGCCUUAUGGUUGUAAAGCACUUUAAGCGAGGAGGAGGCUCUUUUGGUUAAUACCCAAGAUGAGUGGACGUUACUCGCAGAAUAAGCACCGGCUAACUCUGUGCCAGCAGCCGCGGUAA